RNAcentral lists this long non-coding RNA (355 nucleotides) under Numida meleagris (helmeted guineafowl). Its description in RNAcentral is "lncRNA (ENSNMEG00000007817.1)". The record is from RNAcentral. Lineage: Eukaryota; Metazoa; Chordata; Aves; Galliformes; Numididae.
CUCGUAGUAACUGUCUCCAUCGUGCAAUCAGCAUUUGCUCAUCAAACCUAAAAGGGAACUUUGAUAGCAAAUCCCACUUGAAAGAGAGCAUUUAUAGGGACAUCAUUUGCCAGAAGGACUCACUACUUCUUGCAGCAGCACAUCUUAGGAAAAAAGAAGAUAGCAUCUCAUUGAAAUGAGAACCUGAAUAGGGCCAGAGGAGGAAAAUCAGUGGAGAAUGCAACUCUAAGUCUUCUCAGAAGGGAGGUGAAAAGGGCAACAAUGAAACCAAUUUUGAAAUCAAAUUGCUAUACUGUUUAGAGGUACUGAUAACCUGCUAAUACUUCAGCAAUAAAAAAGCAGAUAAGCACUGCCA